This 2903-nucleotide ribosomal RNA is filed under the name Enterobacter cloacae. Its description in RNAcentral is "bacterial LSU rRNA". It matches the Rfam family "Bacterial large subunit ribosomal RNA". The record is from RNAcentral. RNAcentral also lists the same sequence under 2 other names. Lineage: Bacteria; Pseudomonadati; Pseudomonadota; Gammaproteobacteria; Enterobacterales; Enterobacteriaceae.
UUAAGCGACUAAGCGUACACGGUGGAUGCCCUGGCAGUCAGAGGCGAUGAAGGACGUGCUAAUCUGCGAAAAGCGCCGGCGAGGUGAUAUGAACCUUUGACCCGGCGAUGUCCGAAUGGGGAAACCCAGUGCAAUCCGUUGCACUAUCGUUAACUGAAUACAUAGGUUAACGAGGCGAACCGGGGGAACUGAAACAUCUAAGUACCCCGAGGAAAAGAAAUCAACCGAGAUUCCCCCAGUAGCGGCGAGCGAACGGGGAGCAGCCCGGAGUCUGAAUCAGCUUGUGUGUUAGUGGAACGGUCUGGAAAGUCCGACGGUACAGGGUGAUAGUCCCGUACACGAAAGCACACAUGCUGUGAACUCGAAGAGUAGGGCGGGACACGUGGUAUCCUGUCUGAAUAUGGGGGGACCAUCCUCCAAGGCUAAAUACUCCUGACUGACCGAUAGUGAACCAGUACCGUGAGGGAAAGGCGAAAAGAACCCCGGCGAGGGGAGUGAAAAAGAACCUGAAACCGUGUACGUACAAGCAGUGGGAGCCUCUUUAUGGGGUGACUGCGUACCUUUUGUAUAAUGGGUCAGCGACUUAUAUUCUGUAGCAAGGUUAACCGUAUAGGGGAGCCGAAGGGAAACCGAGUCUUAACUGGGCGUUAAGUUGCAGGGUAUAGACCCGAAACCCGGUGAUCUAGCCAUGGGCAGGUUGAAGGUUGGGUAACACUAACUGGAGGACCGAACCGACUAAUGUUGAAAAAUUAGCGGAUGACCUGUGGCUGGGGGUGAAAGGCCAAUCAAACCGGGAGAUAGCUGGUUCUCCCCGAAAGCUAUUUAGGUAGCGCCUCGUGAACUCAUCUUCGGGGGUAGAGCACUGUUUCGGCUAGGGGGCCAUCCCGGCUUACCAACCCGAUGCAAACUACGAAUACCGAAGAAUGUUAUCACGGGAGACACACGGCGGGUGCUAACGUCCGUCGUGAAGAGGGAAACAACCCAGACCGCCAGCUAAGGUCCCAAAGUCAUGGUUAAGUGGGAAACGAUGUGGGAAGGCACAGACAGCCAGGAUGUUGGCUUAGAAGCAGCCAUCAUUUAAAGAAAGCGUAAUAGCUCACUGGUCGAGUCGGCCUGCGCGGAAGAUGUAACGGGGCUAAACCAUGCACCGAAGCUGCGGCAGCGACACUAUGUGUUGUUGGGUAGGGGAGCGUUCUGUAAGCCGUUGAAGGUGUGCUGUGAGGCAUGCUGGAGGUAUCAGAAGUGCGAAUGCUGACAUAAGUAACGAUAAAGCGGGUGAAAAGCCCGCUCGCCGGAAGACCAAGGGUUCCUGUCCAACGUUAAUCGGGGCAGGGUGAGUCGACCCCUAAGGCGAGGCCGAAAGGCGUAGUCGAUGGGAAACAGGUUAAUAUUCCUGUACUUGGUGUUACUGCGAAGGGGGGACGGAGAAGGCUAUGUCAGCCGGGCGACGGUUGUCCCGGUUUAAGCAUGUAGGCGGAGGUUCCAGGUAAAUCCGGUACCUUGUUAACGCUGAGGUGUGAUGACGAGGCACUACGGUGCUGAAGUGAUAAAUGCCCUGCUUCCAGGAAAAGCCUCUAAGCAUCAGGUAACACGAAAUCGUACCCCAAACCGACACAGGUGGUCAGGUAGAGAAUACCAAGGCGCUUGAGAGAACUCGGGUGAAGGAACUAGGCAAAAUGGUGCCGUAACUUCGGGAGAAGGCACGCUGAUGUGUAGGUGAAGUCCCUGCGGACGGAGCUGAAAUCAGUCGAAGAUACCAGCUGGCUGCAACUGUUUAUUAAAAACACAGCACUGUGCAAACACGAAAGUGGACGUAUACGGUGUGACGCCUGCCCGGUGCCGGAAGGUUAAUUGAUGGGGUUAGCGGCAACGCGAAGCUCUUGAUCGAAGCCCCGGUAAACGGCGGCCGUAACUAUAACGGUCCUAAGGUAGCGAAAUUCCUUGUCGGGUAAGUUCCGACCUGCACGAAUGGCGUAAUGAUGGCCAGGCUGUCUCCACCCGAGACUCAGUGAAAUUGAACUCGCUGUGAAGAUGCAGUGUACCCGCGGCAAGACGGAAAGACCCCGUGAACCUUUACUAUAGCUUGACACUGAACACUGGUCCUUGAUGUGUAGGAUAGGUGGGAGGCUUUGAAGCGUGGACGCCAGUCUGCGUGGAGCCAACCUUGAAAUACCACCCUUUAAUGGCUGGUGUUCUAACGUAGACCCGUAAUCCGGGUUGCGGACAGUGUCUGGUGGGUAGUUUGACUGGGGCGGUCUCCUCCCAAAGAGUAACGGAGGAGCACGAAGGUUGGCUAAUCCUGGUCGGACAUCAGGAGGUUAGUGCAAUGGCAUAAGCCAGCUUGACUGCGAGCGUGACGGCGCGAGCAGGUGCGAAAGCAGGUCAUAGUGAUCCGGUGGUUCUGAAUGGAAGGGCCAUCGCUCAACGGAUAAAAGGUACUCCGGGGAUAACAGGCUGAUACCGCCCAAGAGUUCAUAUCGACGGCGGUGUUUGGCACCUCGAUGUCGGCUCAUCACAUCCUGGGGCUGAAGUAGGUCCCAAGGGUAUGGCUGUUCGCCAUUUAAAGUGGUACGCGAGCUGGGUUUAGAACGUCGUGAGACAGUUCGGUCCCUAUCUGCCGUGGGCGCUGGAGAAUUGAGGGGGGCUGCUCCUAGUACGAGAGGACCGGAGUGGACGCAUCACUGGUGUUCGGGUUGUCAUGCCAAUGGCACUGCCCGGUAGCUAAAUGCGGAAGAGAUAAGUGCUGAAAGCAUCUAAGCACGAAACUUGCCCCGAGAUGAGUUCUCCCUGAGACCUUGAGUCUCCUGAAGGAACGUUGAAGACGACGACGUUGAUAGGUCGGGUGUGUAAGCGCAGCGAUGCGUUGAGCUAACCGAUACUAAUGAACCGUGAGGCUUAACCUU